GCGGGUAUAGCUUAGUGGUAAAGCAUGUACUUAGCAUGUACAAAGCCCUGGUUUUGAUCCCCAGCACACACA
This is a non-coding RNA of Ictidomys tridecemlineatus (thirteen-lined ground squirrel), 72 nucleotides long. The record is from Rfam. NCBI's taxonomy places the organism in Eukaryota, Metazoa, Chordata, Mammalia, Rodentia, Sciuridae.